Non-coding RNA from Myodes glareolus (Bank vole), 2322 nucleotides. The record is from RefSeq and is a predicted model, not a curated record. Lineage: Eukaryota; Metazoa; Chordata; Mammalia; Rodentia; Cricetidae.
CGGGAGCCCGACUCGCGGGGAGGAGGCUCCGCGUUAGGUGCUGAAGGGGGCGAAGGCGGCAGGUCCUGGCAGAGGGCAGGAUGAUUGAGGAAAGUGGGAACAAGAGGAAGACCAUGGCAGAGAAGAGACAGCUCUUCAUAGAAAUGCGUGCUCAGAAUUUUGAUGUCAUACGACUGUCAACUUACAGAACAGCUUGCAAGUUACGAUUUGUACAGAAGCGAUGCAACCUUCAUCUCGUUGAUAUCUGGAACAUGAUUGAAGCUUUCCGAGACAAUGGCCUUAACACACUGGACCAUAGCACUGAGAUCAGCGUGUCCCGCCUCGAGACCGUCAUCUCCUCCAUCUACUAUCAGCUGAACAAGCGCCUUCCUUCCACCUACCAAAUAAGCGUGGGGCAGUCCAUCAGCCUCCUCCUCAACUUCAUGAUCGCCGCCUAUGACAGUGAGGGCCGAGGCAAGUUGACCGUAUUUUCAGUUAAAGCUAUGUUAGCAACCAUGUGUGGUGGAAAAAUGCUGGACAAAUUGAGAUACAUUUUCUCCCAGAUGUCGGAUUCCAAUGGCUUGAUGAUGUUUGGCAAGCUUGACCAGUUUCUGAAGGAAGCCCUGAAGCUGCCUACAGCUGUCUUUGAAGGACCGUCCUUUGGUUACACGGAACAUGCAGUCCGCACCUGUUUUCCACAACAGAAGAAGAUAAUGCUGAAUAUGUUUUUAGACACCAUGAUGGCGGAUCCUCCUCCCCAGUGCCUUGUCUGGCUACCUCUCAUGCACAGGCUUGCCCAUGUGGAGAAUGUCUUCCACCCUGUGGAGUGCUCCUACUGUCACAGCGAGAGCAUGAUGGGCUUCCGGUACCGCUGCCAGCAGUGCCACAACUACCAGCUCUGCCAGAACUGCUUUUGGCGUGGCCAUGCCAGUGGCACUCACAGCAACCAGCACCAGAUGAAGGAGCAUUCCUCUUGGAAAUCCCCUGCAAAGAAGCUGAGCCAUGCAAUUAGUAAAUCUUUGGGCUGUGUACCCUCCAGAGAACCCCCACAUCCUGUUUUUCCUGAGCAACCAGAGAAACCACUUGACCUUGCACACAUAGUUCCUCCUCGUCCUCUGACUAAUAUGAACGACACCGUGGUUAGCCACAUGUCCUCUGGAGUGCCCACUCCCACCAAGAGGUUACAGUAUAGCCAGGACAUGCCCAAUCUCUUGGCCGAUGAGCAUGCGUUGAUAGCCUCCUAUGUGGCCCGUCUGCAGCACUGCACACGUGUCCUGGAUAGUCCUAGCCGGCUGGAUGAGGAGCAUCGGCUGAUAGCGCGUUAUGCUGCCCGACUGGCUGCAGAGGCAGGCAACGUGACCCGGCCUCCCGCUGACGCCAGCUUCAACUUUGAUGCCAACAAGCAACAGAGACAACUCAUUGCGGAACUGGAAAACAAGAACAGAGAGAUCCUGCAGGAGAUCCAGCGCCUACGGCUGGAACAUGAGCAGGCUUCCCAGCCCACUCCUGAGAAGGCCCAGCAAAACCCCACGCUGCUAGCGGAGCUGCGCUUGCUGAGGCAAAGGAAAGAUGAACUGGAGCAGAGGAUGUCAGCACUGCAGGAGAGUAGGCGGGAGCUGAUGGUCCAGCUGGAGGGGCUGAUGAAGCUGCUAAAGGAGGAAGAGCAAAAGCAGGCAGCUCAAGCCACAGGGUCACCUCACACAUCACCCACUCAUGGAGGUGGCCGCCCUAUGCCCAUGCCCGUGCGUUCCACGUCCGCCGGCUCCACCCCUACCCAUGGCCCACAGGAUUCACUGAGUGGAGUUGGAGGAGACGUCCAGGAGGCCUUUGCACAAGGUACAAGGAGAAACCUCCGCAAUGACCUGCUGGUGGCUGCUGACUCGAUCACCAACACCAUGUCGUCCCUGGUGAAGGAGCUUCAUUCAGGGUUGAUGGUCUCGUUGGAGAAGCACAACUGAGGCAUGCAGAGGAAGUGUGGGAGAAGACAGCAGCAGAAGAGGUUAGCCAAGGAGCAGCCCGGACACAGGAUGCCCAGGCACAAAGGCCGAGGAGCAAGCUGGCACCGACAAGACAAGGGAAGGUCUUCCCCCAGAGGCACAUUCCUCUCCGUCUUUCUGCUGCACACCUGGACCAGGCUUGCAGGCUGCCAGACUCACUCCACCACCAGAGAGAGGAGCCAAGCCUAUGGGAAGUGGGGAGGGACUGCCUGAGGCCCCGGCUGGUGGGCCUCCUUGUGAGCCCUGCAUGCACUAGCAUCUGCAUUCCUCCCUCAGGGCAUGGUGUCAUCUCUGCAUCAGGAAUUUACCAGGAGGUGGAAAAGAAAAGAAAAAGCACCGAGCCUGA